CAAGUCGAACGAAGCACUUUAUUUGAUUUCCUUCGGGACUGAUUAUUUUGUGACUGAGUGGCGGACGGGUGAGUAACGCGUGGGUAACCUGCCCUGUACAGGGGGAUAACAGUUGGAAACGGCUGCUAAUACCGCAUAAGCGCACGGCAUCGCAUGAUGCAGUGUGAAAAACUCCGGUGGUAUAAGAUGGACCCGCGUUGGAUUAGCUAGUUGGUGAGGUAACGGCCCACCAAGGCGACGAUCCAUAGCCGACCUGAGAGGGUGACCGGCCACAUUGGGACUGAGACACGGCCCAAACUCCUACGGGAGGCAGCAGUGGGGAAUAUUGCACAAUGGGCGAAAGCCUGAUGCAGCGACGCCGCGUGAGCGAAGAAGUAUUUCGGUAUGUAAAGCUCUAUCAGCAGGGAAGAUAAUGACGGUACCUGACUAAGAAGCACCGGCUAAAUACGUGCCAGCAGCCGCGGUAAUACGUAUGGUGCAAGCGUUAUCCGGAUUUACUGGGUGUAAAGGGAGCGCAGGCGGUGCGGCAAGUCUGAUGUGAAAGCCCGGGGCUCAACCCCGGUACUGCAUUGGAAACUGUCGUACUAGAGUGUCGGAGGGGUAAGCGGAAUUCCUAGUGUAGCGGUGAAAUGCGUAGAUAUUAGGAGGAACACCAGUGGCGAAGGCGGCUUACUGGACGAUAAC
This 684-nucleotide ribosomal RNA is filed under the name uncultured Lachnospiraceae bacterium. RNAcentral describes it as "bacterial SSU rRNA". It matches the Rfam family "Bacterial small subunit ribosomal RNA", at positions 58 to 740 of the family's 1533-position model. Lineage: Bacteria; Bacillati; Bacillota; Clostridia; Lachnospirales; Lachnospiraceae. The record is from RNAcentral.